GCGCAGCAAGCGAGAAUCCUCCGCAAUGCUCGAAAGAGCGACGGGGGACUCCAAGUGCCUACGCUCAGCGUAGGCUGUUCCCGAGCCUAAAAAGCUCGGGGAGUAAGGGCUGGGUAAGACGGGUGCCAGCCGCCGCGGUAAUACCCGCAGCCCGAGUGGUGGCCGCUAUUAUUGGGCCUAAAAGCGUCCGUAGCCGGCUCGGUAAAUGCCUGGGUAAAUCGUCUGGCCCAACCAGACGAAUUCCGGGUAGACUGCCGGGCUAGGGACCGGAGGAGGGAGAGGGUACUCCAGGGGUAGGGGUGAAAUCAGCAAGGUGAGUUGCUGAUGUAACUUGCCUUGCAAGUCACAAUCC
This 352-nucleotide ribosomal RNA is filed under the name uncultured microorganism. RNAcentral describes it as "bacterial SSU rRNA". It matches the Rfam family "Archaeal small subunit ribosomal RNA", at positions 330 to 680 of the family's 1478-position model. The record is from RNAcentral.